RNAcentral lists this ribosomal RNA (465 nucleotides) under uncultured bacterium. RNAcentral's name for it is "partial 16S ribosomal RNA". It matches the Rfam family "Bacterial small subunit ribosomal RNA", at positions 338 to 795 of the family's 1533-position model. The record is from RNAcentral.
CCUACGGGGGGCAGCAGUGGGGAAUAUUGCGCAAUGGGCGAAAGCCUGACGCAGCGACGCCGCGUGAGGGAUGAAGGUCUUCGGAUCGUAAACCUCUGUCAGCAGGGAAGAACGGUCACUGUGCUAAUCAGCAGUGAAUUGACGGUACCUGCAAAGGAAGCACCGGCUAACUCCGUGCCAGCAGCCGCGGUAAUACGGAGGGUGCGAGCGUUAAUCGGAAUUACUGGGCGUAAAGCGCUCGUAGGCGGUAUGUCAAGUCAAGGGUGAAAGCCCCUCGCUCAACGUGGGAACUGCCUUUGAAACUGGCAAACUGGAGUGUGUGAGAGGAUAGUGGAAUUCCAGGUGUAGGAGUGAAAUCCGUAGAUAUCUGGAGGAACAUCAGUGGCGAAGGCGACUAUCUGGCACAUAACUGACGCUGAGGAGCGAAAGCGUGGGUAGCAAACAGGAUUAGAUACCCGGGUAGUC